AUCUAAACUGUUCCGUAGGUGAACCUGCGGAAGGAUCAUU
Molecule: ribosomal RNA, 40 nt
Filed under: Thysanorea aquatica
Lineage: Eukaryota; Fungi; Ascomycota; Eurotiomycetes; Chaetothyriales; Herpotrichiellaceae
Description: partial 18S ribosomal RNA
Source: RNAcentral